Molecule: long non-coding RNA, 590 nt
Organism: Oncorhynchus gorbuscha (pink salmon)
Lineage: Eukaryota; Metazoa; Chordata; Actinopteri; Salmoniformes; Salmonidae
Exons: 2
Source: RefSeq, a predicted model, not a curated record
UGACCAUUUUAUGCAGGUGACCAACUUACUGCUAUUGCCUUGCUGUAACUGAGACAACACAUAGCAACGUAUUUUCACAGACUCACUUAAAUCAUCCACAACACUGUCAAAAUAGGAUACAUCCUAGCCACAGGUGCUAGCCUUCAGUUCGGCCACAACAUCCAGUGAGGACACGAACGCACACACAUUACACACUAACUACCGAGGACAUACAGAUAAGACUCCUACACACAUUGGCAGGGAGAAACAGAAUAGGGAGAGACAACCUUGACUUGGAGACAAACCAGCGCACACACGUAACCUCCUUUUUCUAGCUGAACAUUGUGUGACUGAGAACAGGCAUGGAGGGAUUCUACGAUGACGGACAGACAACUGAACCAAUGACGGAAGACUACACCCCAGCCUGAGCCUGAACCAAUCCGAAGAACCAAACUUCUAGAAUCAACCUACUUUCUGUUCUGUAUUAAUUGCUUGUGCAAACGAUUAGCGGGGCUUUUUUUUUGGUUCCUCAUGAGCUAAUAGAAGGGCCCGUAUAUACGCUGUACCAGAUAUCUUUACUCUGAAUAAACUGUCGCUUGUCAUACAAUCUA